GACGAACCGUGCAAACGUUAUUCGGAAUCACUGGGCUUAAAGGGCGCGUAGGCGGACAGGUAAGUCAGGGGUGAAAGCCCACGGCUCAACCGUGGAAGGGCCUUUGAUACUGCCUGUCUUGAGGGAGGUAGGGGCGUGCGGAACUUCCGGUGGAGCGGUGAAAUGCGUAGAUAUCGGAAGGAACACCGGUGGCGAAGGCGGCUCCCUGGACCGGUACUGACGCUGAGGCGCGAAAGCGUGGGUAGCAAACAGG
Molecule: ribosomal RNA, 253 nt
Filed under: uncultured bacterium
Lineage: Bacteria
Description: partial 16S ribosomal RNA
Rfam family: Bacterial small subunit ribosomal RNA
Source: RNAcentral